RNAcentral lists this ribosomal RNA (425 nucleotides) under uncultured bacterium. RNAcentral describes it as "partial 16S ribosomal RNA". It matches the Rfam family "Bacterial small subunit ribosomal RNA", at positions 354 to 796 of the family's 1533-position model. The record is from RNAcentral.
GUGGGGAAUAUUGGGCAAUGGGGGAAACCCUGACCCAGCAACGCCGCGUGAAGGAAGAAGGUUUUCGGAUCGUAAACUUCUAUCCUUGGUGAAGAUAAUGACGGUAGCCAAGAAGGAAGCCCCGGCUAACUACGUGCCAGCAGCCGCGGUAAUACGUAGGGGGCAAGCGUUGUCCGGAAUGAUUGGGCGUAAAGGGCGCGUAGGCGGCCUGGUAAGUCUGGAGUGAAAGUCCUGCUUUUAAGGUGGGAAUUGCUUUGGAUACUGUCGGGCUUGAGUGCAGGAGAGGUAAGCGGAAUUCCCGGUGUAGCGGUGAAAUGCGUAGAGAUCGGGAGGAACACCAGUGGCGAAGGCGACUUACUGGACUGUAACUGACGCUGAGGCGCGAAAGUGUGGGGAGCAAACAGGAUUAGAAACCCGUGUAGUCC